UACGUAGGGUGCAAGCGUUAAUCGGAAUUACUGGGCGUAAAGCGUGCGCAGGCGGUUUUGUAAGUCUGUCGUGAAAGCCCCGGGCUCAACCUGGGAAUUGCGAUGGAGACUGCAAGGCUUGAAUCUGGCAGAGGGGGGUAGAAUUCCACGUGUAGCAGUGAAAUGCGUAGAGAUGUGGAGGAACACCGAUGGCGAAGGCAGCCCCCUGGGUCAAGAUUGACGCUCAUGCACGAAAGCGUGUGGAGCAAACAGG
RNAcentral lists this ribosomal RNA (253 nucleotides) under uncultured bacterium. RNAcentral describes it as "partial 16S ribosomal RNA". It matches the Rfam family "Bacterial small subunit ribosomal RNA", at positions 524 to 776 of the family's 1533-position model. The record is from RNAcentral.